GAUGAACGCUAGCUACAGGCUUAACACAUGCAAGUCGCGGGGCAGCAUUUCCUUAGCUUGCUAAGGAAGAUGGCGACCGGCGCACGGGUGAGUAACGCGUAUCCAACCUUCCCAUGUCCACGGGAUAGCCCGUCGAAAGGCGGAUUAAUACCGUAUGAGGUCACAUGCGGGCAUCUAAGUGUGACGAAAGGUUUAGCGGACAUGGAUGGGGAUGCGUCUGAUUAGCUUGUUGGCGGGGUAAACGGCCCACCAAGGCGACGAUCAGUAGGGGUUCNGAGAGGAAGGUCCCCCCACAUUUGGAACCUGAGACACGGUCCAAAACUCCUACGGGAGGCAGCAGUUGAGGAAUAU
RNAcentral lists this ribosomal RNA (351 nucleotides) under uncultured bacterium. Its description in RNAcentral is "bacterial SSU rRNA". It matches the Rfam family "Bacterial small subunit ribosomal RNA", at positions 28 to 364 of the family's 1533-position model. The record is from RNAcentral.